Molecule: long non-coding RNA, 402 nt
Filed under: Homo sapiens (human)
Lineage: Eukaryota; Metazoa; Chordata; Mammalia; Primates; Hominidae
Description: HSALNT0014199
Source: RNAcentral
UCCGCAUCAAUCAAUUCCAAACUUUUUCACUCUGCAACCUUGAAGCUCCGACACCUGAAUCAGUUUCUUAGACUCUAAAUCCCUCGAUGCCAGCGAUAGCACCACCCGCUCCGCUGGGCGGCGGCGGGCCAAGGUCCUGACUAGAGGGCAGAAAGCGUCAGCUGCAACCCGGGACCACAGGAAUCAAGCUGCUUCGCCCAGGGAUGAGAGGGGCAGCCUCGAAGGAUUUUUCAAAUUACAUCUGCAGCCUGUACCACGGAAUUGAGGUUUCUCUUCCCAGAAUGGUGGAACCGGAAGAAAAACGGAGCUAGUGAGCUGGGGAGGGGAUGAGAGCCCCGUCUUAAUUUCUUGCUUCCCUCACAGGUAGGCCUACUCAGUCUAAAAAGCUGAAGAGAAAAACUG